AUGAAGAUGUGUAUUGAUGAUAGCCAUAACCUCGGAAAGCUAGAUAAAGUAUAUCUGAAGGAAAUAUUUGAGAAUAGAGCAUUCUGUUUGCAAAAGCCAAACGCUCCUGAUCUAAGCGAUGUGGUUGAUAAGAUUCUGGACAGAUGUGGAGGCUCUCCUUUAGCUGCCAAAGCCUUUGGUUCUAUGUUGAGUACUAAGACUAGAAUAAAAGAAUGGAUGGAUGUACUAACCAGAAGCAACACUUGCAGUGAGAAGACAGGAAUUUUACCUAUACUCAAGCUCAGCUAUGAUGACUUGCCAUCACACUUGAAACAAUGCUUUGCCUUUUGUGCUGUAUUUCCAAAAGAUUAUAAGAUUGAUGUGAAAAUUUUAAUCCAGCUAUGGAUGGCACAUGAUUUUAUACCACUGAAGGAUGGUGACCGUCUUGAAGAGGUAGGCGGAGAAAUUUUUGACCAGCUAACUUGGAGGUCAUUCUUUCAAGAUGUCGAGCGAAUCCCUCAUAGUGAUCGGAUGCUGGAGCUCUGUUCUGGAACAGUAUGCAAGAUACAUGAUCUUAUGCAUGACAUUGCCUUGUCUGUUAUGGGAAAAGAUUGUCUUACUAUAGUUCAUAGGCUUAAUAAAAAGGAGUUGUUGUUAGCAGGGCCUACUCGCCACAUAUUCUCAUCAUAUUUUCAUACCAGAACCCUUCUGGAUUAUUAUCCGAUGAAACAGUCUCCAGCUGUUCAGACACUCUUGUAUCAAGAAUACGUUGAUGAUGGAUCAACGCCACACUUGUCGAAGUACAAUCAUCUGCGAGCACUACAACUCUCUAAACAGAGCAAACUUCCACUCCGACCAAGGCACUUACAGCACCUGAGGUAUCUUGAUCUCUCAGGCAAUAAGGGGAUCAAAAUGCCUCCCAAGGAAAUAGGCAUACUGUAUAAUCUGCAGACACUUAAACUCUCUGGUUGCGUCAAUCUUUGUCAACUUCCAAAGGAUAUGAAGUAUAUGUCAAAUCUCCGUCACCUCUAUACUUGUGGGUGCAGAUCACUGGAGUUCAUGCCUCCAGGCCUCGGGCAACCCACUUCUCUACAGACUACACAUUUUGUGGGGGGUCCUACUCCUGGUUGCAGUACUAUUAGAGAACUACGGGACUUAAAUCUUGGUGGUGAAUUAAAUAUGUCUAGCCUUCAAUACGCAACUGAAGAACAUGCUAAAGCAUUCCGUCUUGGAAGUAAAGAGAAGCUCACACAUUUAUCUCUUGAAUGGAGCGACAACAGAAGUGAGGAACUGGACCAGCACAGGAAUGUGCUUCAGGCUCUUAAACCUCAUGCUGCACUGGAGUUUUUAAGGAUACACUCCUACAAAAGUACUGGCUUCCCGACAUGGGUGAUAAAUGUUACUUCUCUGCAGCAUUUGACCGAGCUCUGCCUUGAUGGUUGUUCAGUGUGUGAUGAAUUUCCUCAAUUCGGUCAAUUUAAGGCCCUUGAAGUUCUUGUUUUGAAAAGGUUGAACAAACUGCAAGGCCUAUGCAGUAACAAUUCCUCAUUAAAAGACCUCAGAUUAGAAAAAUUGGAAAAUUUUGAGAGAUGGGUGGCAGCAGAAGGAGAAGAAUUAGCAUUUCCUUUGCUUGAGAAAGUUCAGAUUAAGAACUGCCCAAAGCUAACUACUCUGCCUGAAGCUCCAAAACUUGAAGUUAUAACGCUAUCAGAAUACAAGGCUCAACUAUCCUUAUCAGUAUUUAGAUCCAGGUACAUGCCUUACUUGUCUGCGGUAUACCUAUCUGUCCUUGAUACAGAAGCAACACCAACACUCGAGCUUGAUCAGAAUCGUGAAGUAUCUCUUUCAGAAAUGGAGUUGCAUGGUUGCAACUUUUUAUUCCGCCCGUGUCCAUCGGAGCCAACAGUUGGGGUCUGGAAAUGGUUUGGCCAGCUUACGUAUUUGCAACUCGUAUAUUGUGAUACGCUCGUCUGCUGGCCUGAAGAAGAGUUCCGAAGCCUGGUAUCACUGACUGCCCUUUGCAUUUUUCACUGCAGCCAGCUAAUAGGCCCCACCCAGUCUUUACUUAUAGAGGACUGCAAGAAGCUUCGUUUCGUGUCAGCGCAGUUGGAUGCACUCCUAUGUUUGAGUAUUGAGCAUUGCAAUGGGCUGGAGUCGCUGGAUUUGGGGGAUUUGCCAUUACUGGAAACACUAUGCCUUCAGAAAUGCAAACAUCUGGCAGCUGUACCAGGUAGUCGUGGGAAUUACUCAGCCCUCCAGAGACUCAUCGUUAGAUACUGCCCAGCUCUAAAUCUGAAGCCACUUUAUGGAAGCCUCCAACAACGGCUAAAUAGCCUUGAAUACAAGGAUCUAUCCCAUGCUGGUUCAUGCAAUCCUGAUGAAGGUUCUGCUGGCUCUGCUGUUCAUAACAAUUUCCAUAUACAGGGCCUAAACUAUGGGAACCAAAAUCUUGGAAAUAUGCUAUUCCUGGGCGUCAGCGGGGCACUGACCUCGAUGACUGAAUAG
RNAcentral lists this ribosomal RNA (2484 nucleotides) under Triticum aestivum (bread wheat). RNAcentral describes it as "partial small subunit ribosomal RNA". Lineage: Eukaryota; Viridiplantae; Streptophyta; Magnoliopsida; Poales; Poaceae. The record is from RNAcentral.